This 497-nucleotide ribosomal RNA is filed under the name uncultured bacterium. RNAcentral describes it as "bacterial SSU rRNA". It matches the Rfam family "Bacterial small subunit ribosomal RNA", at positions 15 to 507 of the family's 1533-position model. The record is from RNAcentral.
GAUCAUGGCUCAGAUUGAACGCUGGCGGAAUGCUUUACACAUGCAAGGUCGAACGGUAGACGGGGGCAACCCCUCGAGAGUGGCGAACGGGUGAGUAAUAUAUCGGAACGUGCCCAGUCGUGGGGGAUAACGUAGCGAAAGCUACGCUAAUACCGCAUACGAUCUACGGAUGAAAGCGGGGGACUCGUAAGGGCCUCGCGCGAUUGGAGCGGCCGAUAUCAGAUUAGCUAGUUGGUGGGGUAAAAGCCCACCAAGGCGACGAUCUGUAGCUGGUCUGAGAGGACGACCAGCCACACUGGAACUGAGACACGGUCCAGACUCCUACGGGAGGCAGCAGUGGGGAAUUUUGGACAAUGGGCGCAAGCCUGAUCCAGCAAUGCCGCGUGCAGGAUGAAGGCCUUCGGGUUGUAAACUGCUUUUGUACGGAGCGAAACGGCUCUCUCUAAUAAAGGGGGCUAAUGACGGUACCGUAAGAAUAAGCACCGGCUAACUACGUG